RNAcentral lists this long non-coding RNA (577 nucleotides) under Pongo abelii (Sumatran orangutan). RNAcentral's name for it is "lincRNA". The record is from RNAcentral. Lineage: Eukaryota; Metazoa; Chordata; Mammalia; Primates; Hominidae.
CCUGUUUGUUCUUCAGACCUCAGGAUUUCUCCGUGUUUCCGAGACCGUAACGUUUGGAAUAGUUCACCAGUGAAGUCAUCUCAACCAGCACAGGGCCUUGAUUCCCAACAACAAUCACAUGAACUUGGAAGAGCAUCCUUCCCCAGCUGAACCUUCACCUGAGACCUCGUCCUUGGCCAUCAUCUACAUCUGGAUUCAUGAUACAGAGAAACUUGAGUAAUGAUGACAAUAGCAGUCCAGCCUUCAUGGAUGCUGACAUGGAUGCUGUCUCCCAUUCUUACCACUGGAUGUGAAGAAAUGCUAGAUGCAAUCCAGCCAAUGUGCACUCGACUCUCAGUUCCAUCUUCUCAACUCACAGUGUCUUCCAAAGUCCAUGCCACACCACAGCCUGGAACAUCUCCCAAAGUGGUAUCUUGAGGCAGUGGUAGAGCUCAUGUCACAGUAUUGUAUGUCUCAGAUAUCACUGUCCUUCACUGUUUGAUAUAAUCUCUCUUACAAACCAUUGUUCCGUACACUUUGCCCCUUUUGUGUUUGUUUAUACAUGUGGUAUGGCAUGUCUAAACCUCACAGUGAGGAU